This 253-nucleotide ribosomal RNA is filed under the name uncultured bacterium. RNAcentral describes it as "partial 16S ribosomal RNA". It matches the Rfam family "Bacterial small subunit ribosomal RNA", at positions 524 to 776 of the family's 1533-position model. The record is from RNAcentral.
UACGAAGGGGGCUAGCGUUGUUCGGAUUUACUGGGCGUAAAGCGCACGUAGGCGGAUCGUUAAGUCGGGGGUGAAAUCCUGGAGCUCGACUCCAGAACUGCCUUCGAUACUGGCGAUCUUGAGUCCGGAAGAGGUGAGUGGAACUCCUAGUGUAGAGGUGAAAUUCGUAGAUAUUCGCAAGAACACCAGUGGCGAAGGCGGCUCACUGGCCCGGUACUGACGCUGAGGCGCGAAAGCGUGGGGAGCAAACAGG